ACGCUGGCGGCGUGCCUAAUACAUGCAAGUAGAACGCUGAAGGAGGAGCUUGCUUCUCUGGAUGAGUUGCGAACGGGUGAGUAACGCGUAGGUAACCUGCCUGGUAGCGGGGGAUAACUAUUGGAAACGAUAGCUAUACCGCAUAACAGUAGAUGUUGCAUGACAUUUGCUUAAAAGGUGCAAUUGCAUCACUACCAGAUGGACCUGCGUUGUAUUAGCUAGUUGGUGGGGUAACGGCUCACCAAGGCGACGAUACAUAGCCGACCUGAGAGGGUGAUCGGCCACACUGGGACUGAGACACGGCCCAGACUCCUACGGGAGGCAGCAGUAGGGAAUCUUCGGCAAUGGACGGAAGUCUGACCGAGCAACGCCGCGUGAGUGAAGAAGGUUUUCGGAUCGUAAAGCUCUGUUGUAAGAGAAGAACAGGUGUGAGAGUGGAAAGUUCACACUGUGACGGUAUCUUACCAGAAAGGGACGGCUAACUACGUGCCAGCAGCCGCGGUAAUACGUAGGUCCCGAGCGUUGUCCGGAUUUAUUGGGCGUAAAGCGAGCGCAGGCGGUUAGAUAAGUCUGAAGUUAAAGGCUGUGGCUUAACCAUAGUACGCCUUGGAAACUGUUUAACUUGAGUGCAAGAGGGGAGAGUGGAAUUCCAUGUGUAGCGGUGAAAUGCGUAGAUAUAUGGAGGAACACCGGUGGCGAAAGCGGCUCUCUGGCUUGUAACUGACGCUGAGGCUCGAAAGCGUGGGGAGCAAACAGGAUUAGAUACCCCUGGUAGUCCACGCCGUAAACGAUGAGUGCUAGGUGUUAGACCCUUUCCGGGGUUUAGUGCCGCAGCUAACGCAUUAAGCACUCCGCCUGGGGAGUACGACCGCAAGGUUGAAACUCAAAGGAAUUGAC
RNAcentral lists this ribosomal RNA (897 nucleotides) under uncultured bacterium. RNAcentral's name for it is "bacterial SSU rRNA". It matches the Rfam family "Bacterial small subunit ribosomal RNA", at positions 33 to 914 of the family's 1533-position model. The record is from RNAcentral.